This is an RNA transcript of Quercus robur (English oak), 5071 nucleotides long. It is a transcript of the gene named heat shock factor protein HSF30, with no coding region annotated. The transcript has 4 exons. Lineage: Eukaryota; Viridiplantae; Streptophyta; Magnoliopsida; Fagales; Fagaceae. The record is from RefSeq and is a predicted model, not a curated record.
CAAUACACAGAAAAAAUAUCUAUUGUCUCUAGAAGUUUCCUAUCCACCGCCAUAAAAAUCCCGUUCCCUCUCUCCUCUGCUUCCCAAAGCCGUAACAACCAUGUCAAACACUCAAAAAAGUCUCACUUUUUUUAAGUUCCAACACUAACCCACUUUACAAAACUCUCUCAAAAACUCUUAUUUUACUUCACUUCACAACAAUACCAUUACCAAGUCACCAGACUCUCCUGAAAUUUCACUGAAUACUCUGUCUUUGCGACUCUAAAGCCUCAAAAUUUCUCACUUUUUUUAAAGUUCUGACACAACACCCAAUUCAGAAAACUCUCUCAAAAACUCAAAUUUUGCAUCAAAUUCUCCAAUAAGACUCUGUUACUGUUACUGUUACUGUUUCGAUCCUAGGGAAAACAGAGCAAUGGAGGGAGUGAUGGUUAAGGAAGAAGAAACGGUGACGUACGGUGUGGGAUCAUCGUCCUCUUCAUCUUCGUGCAUUUCACCGCAACCAAUGGAGGGGUUACACGAGCUUGGCCCGCCUCCAUUUCUGACCAAGACCUUUGAAAUGGUGGAAGACCCAGCAACUGACUCGAUCGUGUCGUGGAGCGCAGCUCGCAAUAGCUUCGUUGUUUGGGACUCUCACAAAUUCUCCACCACCCUUCUUCCUCGCCACUUCAAGCACAGUAAUUUCUCAAGCUUCGUUCGCCAGCUCAAUACAUAUGGUUUCAGAAAGGUUGAUCCUGAUCGAUGGGAAUUCGCAAAUGAAGGGUUUCUGGCAGGGCAAAAGCAUCUAUUAAAGAACAUCAAAAGAAGAAGACAUGUCACACAGGGUACGCAACAACAAGGAGGAGGAGCUUGUGUUGAAUUGGGACAAUAUGGGUUAGAAGGUGAGCUUGAGAUAUUAAAGAGAGAUCGGGGCUUGCUAAUGGCCGAAAUUGUGAGGUUGAGGCAGCAACAACAGAAUUCAAGGGAACAAAUGAUUGCAAUGGAGGAUAGGUUACAGACCACAGAGAGGAAACAGCAACAGUUAAUGAAUUUUCUUGCUAAAGCACUUAAUAACCCAUCCUUUAUCCAGCAAUUUAGUCAGAUGAGUGCUCAAAGAAGAGGACUACAGGGUGUUGAAAUUGGACGAAAGCGUAGACUUACUGCAAGCCCAAGUGUGGAGAAUUUGCAAGAAGAAGACGUGUCUGUGUUGGCAGGCAGUAACCAAGUUGUGGACUUUACAAGCCAAGAUCAAGAAGAAAUGGCAACUAUGGAAACAUUUUUCUCAGCUGCCUUGGACAAUGAAUCAAGCAGUGAUAUCAAUGACCCAAUUGCAAGUUCAGUACCCACAAGAAGUGGUGCCAAUUUGGAUUCUGUCAAUGAGACCAUUUGGGAAGAACUAUUGAAUGAAGAUCUAAUCACUGAAAAUCCGGAAGAAGAAGCUGUGGUUGGUGAUAAGUCGGAAAUUGAUGUGGAAGUGGAGGAUUUGGUCGCAGAACCUGACGACUGGGGUGAUGAUUUCCAAGACCUCGUCGAUCAACUGGUUAUCUCAGGCAGUCUAGCCAACGGAAAUUUGUAUAAGGAGGGCAUUAAGCAUUGACUCAUUCCCAAGCUACAGCUACAGUCUCUGCUGUAUAUAUGCAUGUUUGAUACCUUGCUCAAUUAUCGUGGCUGGGAAGUUCCAAUUCAUUAAUUUGUAUAUGUAGAUAUCAGCUACGCGUAGAAACUUCAUCCAUGCAGAUGUUAGCUAUGUACAGAAAUUUCUCUUACAGAGAUACAAUGUGUUUCAGCUCAUUGCUUGGUGCAUAAUGGCUAUAAGGUCUGUGCGUAUUUGGCCAAGCUGCAAUUAAGGAUUUAUAUUCUUCUUGGUAAGUUUAGACUCAUAACUCGUUAGAAUAAGCACUACAAACACAUUUUUAUUUUUGGGUUGACUGUGGCCCGGAUACCCUGUGAACUAAGAUCUGUAUGCAAGCUGGUUUAGCUUUCGGCAACUAAUGGACAGGAAAGUUUGGUCUUGUUUCUGUCUCCGCAAUAAUUAUUUAUUGGCUUAGAUAUAUGCAUUUUCCCUAAUGUGUUACAGAUUGUAAGAGGCUGUGGGAUCCAUACACUAUAAAAAGGAAAAAAAAAACAUAUAUGAUGUAUAAGAAGCCUUCUCCUAUGAUGCCUUUCUUGUUUUUCCCUUUCUAUGGCUGUGUGGAUUACCCUGUGAACUAAGAGGUAUCUGUAUGCAAGCUGGUUUAGCUUUCUGCAACUAAUGGACAGGAAACUUUGGUCUUGUUUCUGUCUCUGCAAUAAUUAUUUAUUGGCUUAGAUAUAUGCAUUUUCCCUAGUGUGUUACAGAUUGUAAGAGGCUGUGGGAUCCAUACACUAUAAAAAGGAAAAAAAAAAAAAAAACAUAUAUGAUGCAUAAGAAACCUUCUCCUAUGAUGCCUUUCUUGUUUUUCCCUUUCUAUGGCUGUGUGGAUUACCAUCUGGCCAAAAAACUAUUAAGGUACCAUUUCUUGUGCUCAACUGAAACUUUAUCUGAUGUAACUUCUGAGUAGUUUAGUUGGAUAGUAAUGCCUUAUGUAUGUAGUUAGAUUAUGUUCAAUUCAGUUUUAUUUAUUUAUUUAUUUUUGGGAUUAAAUGAUAAAUUAAUCUUUAAUUCUGUAAAUCUUGUACUUACCAGUAGCUACAUCAAUGAAGGAGACUAGGAUGGGCCCUAUGGGAUAAUGAAGGAGACUAGAGAAAUAGUCUAGAGAUCAUAUCAUUCUUUGUUAUAAAAAAAAAAAGCCUUUUGUUUUUUGGGAUAAUGAAGGAGACUAGGAUGGGUCCUAUGGGUUUUGUCAGAAGUAGACAUGAAUGACAGAAAGAGCUAGGUGUUCAAUCUGGACCUAUGAAGUGUAAAAAUAUGGAACUAAUAAAAUAAAGGAAUUAGUAAAUUAUAAAAGAAUUGAAUAGAGAAAAAAGGUUCUCUUAAUCUCUUCUGUAUAGUAGAAGAGACAUCUCCUUGGUGAAGACUGUAGUGAAGCAGGGUAGGAUGACAUUUUGCUAGAGCUUCAGUUCUAAACUUCUAGUGAUUAUGGAUUGCAGCAGACUGAACUAACACAUGCACAUCAGGCCUGUUUGGCCUGUUUGGUUGGAUUGAUUGAAAAUAUGGAAAUGAUAAUUAAAAAAAGAAAGUGGUAAGAAAAUAUUCUUAUUUUCCUACUUGUCUGUUUCGUACAGAGGACAAAAUACAUAUAAAAAUUUCAUUUGUUUCUAAACUAUGUAUGAAUUUACUAUUAUACUUUUAUCAUAUAAGGUUGGUGGGGGUAAAAAUGUGAUUUGAUUAAUGCAUGGCUUGCGAGCAGGCUUUAUAAUAGGUUAAGGCACACGUCCAUACUUGAAUAAGGAAUAAAGCUUUUGGUGUUGGACAUCUAGAAUAAUGGCAAGCUUGAGUUUUGUUCUUAUUCGGAAUUUAGAACAAUCUGGUUUUGUAUCAAUUUUUGGAAAUAUGUUGACUAAACCAGAUCCAAGAACUUUUACCUCCAUACAAUAUUCCUUCAAAUUUUCCAUUAAUGAGUUAUAUGAGAAUGUGAGAAAAUAAAAAAGAUACAAAUAAAGAUAGAAGGCCUGAAAUAAUUUACCACCGAGGGGUGUGGUCUAGUGGUGUCAGGUGAAGCACAAGAUGCGCCAAGGGUAAGGUCCCAUGUUCGAGUCCGAAUAUGGACUUGCGUGGGAUUGCCUACCUUGGCAACUUAAGAUCACUAGUAUCCUUUGUGGGACUGGGAAGUUAUGGCUUACCGUAUUCUUUGCACCCUAGUAAGGCAUAGACCCAGCGGGUAGGUUAUUAUUAUGGUCACGGGUAGGAUUGUCAUGUUGGUUGCUCUCCUUACCCUUUUUUAUUAUCCAAAAAAAAAAAAAAAAAAAAAAAAAAGGCCUGAAAUAAUUUGCUUUAUUUGGGCCUUCAUAAGAAAUGGGUGUCAACAAUUUGUGAAGAUGACACCAUAUGAAAGUGAAAUUAUAUUAUUUCCCCUAUUCAUUUAUUUUGUGUAUAAGAAAAAAAUUUGAUAAAGUGAACGUAAAAUCAUCUGUUUUCUGUACGUUUUGAAGUGAAGAAACUUUGUGGAGCCCCCCAUGGAGAAAAUACCUUAUCUCUUUCUUUCCGUUGAGUUUUCUCCAACACUACCAAAAUAAUUAGGAAAAUGAUAAUGACCCCAUCGUUUUCUAUCCUCGGUUUUCCAUCCUCUCUUUUCCCUACACCAAUAGUAUUUAAUUCUAACAGACACAGCACUGAUAUAAUCACAUGAUUAAGCAUGUUAGAGACAAAGAUAAGAUGAGAAGGAAUCUCAUGCAAAUGUCAUUUUCAUUCCAAACAAAGGAUAUUCCUUUCUAAUGAAGACUAAUACAUUAAAAACGAUCUUUAGGCCGGUCGUUUCUAAUUAACAAUUACCUGACAUGAUGUACUAAGCUUAUAAGUUUAUUUGGACGACAACAACAACAACGCAUUAGUUUUUACCUCCAAAAGAAAGAAAAAAAAAUGCGUUAGUUUUAAUCUUAAGCUAUUAUGGACUUGAGUGGGCCGUAAAAAUUGAACUAUUUUGUUUUGCUAUUCUGAGAAGGUAUUUGAUUUUAUGUCAGAAUGUGACUUGAAAUGUCAAGCCUGGGACCUAAAUGGAGUAGGUGCCUUGUCUUCUUUCCAAUGCAACCAAAUAUCAGGCUUGGAUAUUGUGUUGUUUCAAGCCAGUUUGUCAAGCAGCGUGACUUUGAUAUCACAUCUCCUUGAAUGCAAUAUCAUGAUGAGGCAUGACUUUCUUGCAUGGACAGAGUAUUGCCUUGCCGACACACCAGAUUUUUUGCUCUAUAUAUACGCGCCUUCGUGUAGCAGAGAGAGUGAGCAAGAGAGUGGUGGAGCGGCAAUUGCUUGCAGAGAGGGAAAAUAACUUCUCUUUGCUAAUUUUGUAUUUGUGAAAGAGAGUAGCAUGGAGUUUAUUGGGGUUUGGGUACAGUGAGAGUGUGAUAAUUACCCCAUCUGUAUUCUCCACAUUUGUUAGUAAGAGAGUGGAUGUAGGCUAAAAGCAUAAUCAUGUAAAUCCUUUGAAUUCUCUAUUAUGUUUGUGAUUUUCUAUUUUCUUAU